GACGAACGCUGGCGGCGUGCUUAACACAUGCAAGUCGAACGGUAAGGCCCUUCGGGGUACACGAGUGGCGAACGGGUGAGUAACACGUGGGUGAUCUGCCCUGCACUUCGGGAUAAGCCUGGGAAACUGGGUCUAAUACCGGAUAGGACCCUGGGAUGCAUGUCCUGGGGUGGAAAGCUUUUGCGGUGUGGGAUGGGCCCGCGGCCUAUCAGCUUGUUGGUGGGGUGAUGGCCUACCAAGGCGACGCCGGGUAGCCGGCCUGAGAGGGUGACCGGCCACACGGGGACUGAGAUACGGGCCAGACUCGUACGGGAGGCAGCAGUGGGGAAUAUUGCACAAUGGGCGCAAGCCUGGUGCAGCGACGCCGCGUGAGGGAUGACGGCCUUCGGGUUGUAAAGCUCUUUCAGCACCGACGAAGCGCAAGUGACGGUAGGUGCAGAAGAAGGACCGGCCAACUACGUGCCAGCAGCCGCCGUAA
Molecule: ribosomal RNA, 478 nt
Filed under: uncultured bacterium
Lineage: Bacteria
Description: partial 16S ribosomal RNA
Rfam family: Bacterial small subunit ribosomal RNA
Source: RNAcentral